This is a long non-coding RNA of Numida meleagris (helmeted guineafowl), 888 nucleotides long. RefSeq lists it as uncharacterized. NCBI's taxonomy places the organism in Eukaryota, Metazoa, Chordata, Aves, Galliformes, Numididae. The transcript is spliced from 3 exons. The record is from RefSeq and is a predicted model, not a curated record.
ACAUGGUGCAAUUAUGAUAAUUAAAGAACUUUGGUUUAUGGCAUUCUUAAAUUAGUUUUCACUGACUUUUAAAGCAUCAUAAGAUUUAAUCCUCUCAUCCCAUCCUUAAAUCACACCCCUGCUAGUGUCCUACAUUCAGAGUGGGAGUGCGGUGACGUUGCAGUUUAAGUUGGUGUUAAAUCAGGCUUUUGUGAUUCUCCUUUUGCUGACAGUCAGUUCUGUUCUUCUUCUGUGCUGGAUCUGUUGAUUACCUGGUUCAGAGAGAAUGUCCAGCCCACGAACAAGCCAGCCUCAAAGGAGGCGUUACUGCUGAACUCCCAGAACUGAUGCAGGACGGCAAAGUGCAGCAGUGCCAGAACUAUAGGAGCUCCAACCUUAAAUCCAUUUAUGUUGUUGUGAACAUACACUGUCAGAGCAUCUAAGAAAAUCUGGCUUAAUCUAUCCUGCCCAGAAUUGACUACUCCAAUAACAGCUUCACUGCCAAAGUGUGAGCUUUCAGGAGAUGUGCUUCUAUCCCAUCUAUUUUGGGUUCUGAUUUCUUAAGACGAUCCUACUCAUUCUGUGAAGAGCUAGUUUCCUGUUGCCUGCAAAAGGCAGCCGUCAGAUUCAUCCAAAGAGACUGUGCUCUGUAAUUGGAAUAUACCGUGAAGCAAGAUACUACUAUUGGAAAUGUUAGCCGAGGCAGGGAGCACGUCUUGUCAGAUGUCUGCUAUGGGGCACGUGCAGCACAGCUCUGCAACAUCAGCUGCAGCUACAGUCACAUUACAGCCCAAGUACAGCAGAGGAUGGAAACAACUGCUCCCCAGUAAGGUACACAAGUUUGCACUAGGACGGACCAAGGUGAGAGUAGGUGCUCAGAAGUGCUUCUUUCCCACUGCUGAUGGAUAC